This 292-nucleotide ribosomal RNA is filed under the name uncultured bacterium. RNAcentral describes it as "partial 16S ribosomal RNA". It matches the Rfam family "Bacterial small subunit ribosomal RNA", at positions 505 to 796 of the family's 1533-position model. The record is from RNAcentral.
GUGCCAGCAGCCGCGGUAAGACAGAGGGUGCAAACGUUGUUCGGAAUUACUGGGCGUAAAGCGCGUGUAGGCGGCUACGUAAGUCGGACGUGAAAUCCCAUGGCUCAACCGUGGAAGUGCGCUCGAAACUGUGUAGCUUGAGUCCUGGAGAGGAAAGCGGAAUACUUGGUGUAGAGGUGAAAUUCGUAGAUAUCAGGUAGAACACCAGUGGCGAAGGCGGCUUUCUGGACAGUGACUGACGCUGAGACGCGAAAGCGUGGGGAGCAAACAGGAUUAGAAACCCUCGUAGUCC